Long non-coding RNA from Ictalurus punctatus (channel catfish), 339 nucleotides. The record is from Ensembl. NCBI's taxonomy places the organism in Eukaryota, Metazoa, Chordata, Actinopteri, Siluriformes, Ictaluridae.
AGCAAGUCGUACAAACGCCAGUAUUGUUGCACGUGGAAUGUACGAAACAGAAGGCAUUUCCCUGGUGGGUUCAUUUUAAUGGGCUUUCAGGACCAUGGGGUUUUAAUGAUGUGCUGCAUCACUGAAUUCCCAAACGACUCGAGGCCUCACAAGGCGUAUCAUGGGGGAGCCUGAAGCCUAUUCCAGGGAGCUCGGGGCACAAGGCAGGGGACACCGUGGAUGGGGUACCAACCGGUCACAGGGUACAAUCACACACACUACAGACAAAGUGGAAACGCCAAUCAGCCUACAAUGCAUGUCUUUGUACCGGGAGAGGAAGCCGGAGUACCCUGAGGAAAC